GAAAGUUUGUUCAGGUAGAACUUUUUGCAUAGUAAUGAGUUAUUUACAAUGAUCACCAACUAUAACAAUAUUUACAAUAAGAAAUGUUCAUCUAGUACAUUUCCACUCAAUAUUGAUGUGCUUCUAAACUGUAUUUACAAGGAAGCAAUUACACUAGCAAACAACCAUAUCAAUCUUCAUACUGAUAAUUACGGAUAAUUUUGGUAGCAUCUAGGCGUGCAUAUUUCGCAUUACAUGCCAAUCAUGCACUAAAACCCCUGUGGAGGGAACUCCAGGUAUAGGAUGGAACACUGGGACAAGCUUGUGCCGAUGCCUCCACCAUCUGCUCCAUUUUAAUUCCAGCGUUGCAUAUGUUAGCAACAGAGCGCAUAUGUUUCAUUCCAUACUGAGAUAACGAUCCACAAUGUGUUUCAAAUGUUCUUACAUAAGAUUUAAGACAGUCCCAAUUGUCAACAAGCGGCUGACCAGCAGGGCGGACACUAGUCAGCACCUCUGGACCUUUUUUAAUUCCAAACAAAAGCUUACCGACAAGGGCUAUGCUGUUAUCUAAGUGCAUUCUAUGUGAUAUUGCUUCAUUUAAGCGUUUCUGAGCCUCAGUUUUGCUAACAGAGCCUUCAGGAGCCUUGUGGAACUUGUACCAGAAAUGCACAAGAUCUGCAUCACGCUGGUUUACAGCCUUUGAUACUCGCAAGGAAUUGUCAUCCAUAAAAGUAGAAUUAUCAUUUGCAGGAUCGGUACCCAUAUAUAGGAAUACAGCAUCCUUGCUGAGAUGUACAUCACCAUAUUGCAUGACAUGCGAACCAUAGGCAGGAUUCCCACUGGCAGUUCUCUCUUUGACCAGGUGAUAUUGCUGCUUCAAACUUUCAGUCCGCAGGUUGUGUCUUUCACUGUCCUCCAUCCAGGAAAUACUAUACAAGUCACCCAGGCAGGUGUCAUAUUCGAUAGGAGGACUAGGGUACUCCCCUGGGCAAUAGGUUCCCCAGCUGCUCUCAUCAGCAUUUGAUGCUGUUGUGGCAUAGAUGUUUAAACCUUCAGGAAGAAGACCCUCAAACAUACUUCCAGACUCACAAGCUUCAAGGUAAAAUACCAAGCUUUUGUAUGUUCCCGAAGCAUGCUUCAUUUUCAGAGCAUCAAUCAGAUCAUUUGCAUAGAGGUAAGGAUUGGUAGGCAUUCCAAGCACUCCAGCACCUCCAUGAUCACUAUAAAAGAUGAAGAUAUGAUCAUUUGGACCACUAUCUACAACCUUUCCACUGCCUCCGGUAAGUGCAGUUUUGUUCCCAAGGAGAGCAGCAAGAAAGUUGUCAACAGUAACAUCAUCCCCCGUGUAAUCCUUAGGUACUCCGUUGUAAACAUCCUCACCAUGAGGGCUAUUAAUGAUAACUCCUUGCCUUGGGUUCUCUUCAUUGUUUGCAAUGUCAUCAUACAUGAACACAACAAUGUUCUCAUCUUUGAGACCACCCUUCUUCAACAGUUGAUAUGCAUGACAUAUAUCAGCCUGGUGACGGUAAUUCCAAUAACCGUUUGAUCCGGCAAGCAAAAUAGCCCAUCUAGUACCGACGGAGUCGAUCUCAUCGGCAUCGAAGAAUCUAGAACCUUCAGACGGAAGUUUCAAAAAAUUACGGCUCUCGGAAACGGAGACGUUUAACGAGAGCGCAAUCAGGAACAAAACUCCGGCGACGGAACGAUUCAUUAUCCGAGCUCCGAUAAUACAAUUAAAA
This 1718-nucleotide unclassified non-coding RNA is filed under the name Hevea brasiliensis (rubber tree). Lineage: Eukaryota; Viridiplantae; Streptophyta; Magnoliopsida; Malpighiales; Euphorbiaceae. The record is from RNAcentral.